RNAcentral lists this ribosomal RNA (465 nucleotides) under uncultured Selenomonas sp. RNAcentral describes it as "bacterial SSU rRNA". It matches the Rfam family "Bacterial small subunit ribosomal RNA", at positions 338 to 795 of the family's 1533-position model. The record is from RNAcentral. Lineage: Bacteria; Bacillati; Bacillota; Negativicutes; Selenomonadales; Selenomonadaceae.
CCUACGGGUGGCAGCAGUGGGGAAUCUUCCGCAAUGGGCGCAAGCCUGACGGAGCAACGCCGCGUGAGUGAAGAAGGUCUUCGGAUCGUAAAGCUCUGUUGAUGGGGACGAACGUGCCUAAUGCGAAUAGUAUUAGGUAAUGACGGUACCCAUCGAGGAAGCCACGGCUAACUACGUGCCAGCAGCCGCGGUAAUACGUAGGUGGCGAGCGUUGUCCGGAAUCAUUGGGCGUAAAGGGAGCGCAGGCGGGCAUGUAAGUCUUUCUUAAAAGUGCGGGGCUCAACCCCGUGAUGGGAAAGAAACUAUGUGUCUUGAGUACAGGAGAGGAAAGCGGAAUUCCCAGUGUAGCGGUGAAAUGCGUAGAUAUUGGGAGGAACACCAGUGGCGAAGGCGGCUUUCUGGACUGCAACUGACGCUGAGGCUCGAAAGCCAGGGGAGCGAACGGGAUUAGAUACCCGAGUAGUC